RNAcentral lists this long non-coding RNA (1002 nucleotides) under Meleagris gallopavo (turkey). RNAcentral describes it as "lncRNA (ENSMGAG00000017977.1)". Lineage: Eukaryota; Metazoa; Chordata; Aves; Galliformes; Phasianidae. The record is from RNAcentral.
UAUAUGAAAUUUGAUCAACAGCAACAAAAGGCCAAUGUAACUGGGGGGUUACUGCUCUGCUUGUGAUGUUUUAACUUUUGUGACAGGCAGAGGCUUAAUUUACACUGGGAUUUCCUGCAUGAUUUACAAAGUAGGAGUGAAACCCCUUAUAUCCAUUCUGAUAGAUCUCCCCCUUCAUCAAUCAGUGCUGACAGUGCUAAUCUGUGAAGAAUUAGUGACCUAGAAGUUCAAGUCAGCUAUUCCCUUCAUCUGGCUAGAACACUAUUCAUGGCAACUGCGUAUUAGAGGUACCAAUAAAUGUCAGUGUGCAGUGUGAAGAAAAAUGACCGAUUGCACAUUUUUGCAUGAGAAAGUAGUUUAGAACAAAAAGCCUGAUUAUCAAAUCAUCAGCAUGAAAACGGAAUGCAGAUGACAGAGUAGUCUGUAAAGAACUUGAUUUUUGUUAACUAAAUUGUUUCUGUUCCCCUUUCAGUUAGUUGGUGUUACUUACAGCGCACCAUAGCUGGUGUCUAUCUACAGAUCAGCUUGCAGCUUCAUGUGAGGCAUCCAGUUUCUUGAGGGAUGAAAAGCAUAGCUAGUGUGGAGCUUUAAGGAUCAGCUAUGUCCAACCCAUUACUGAAUUGGCUUAGCAGCACAGCAUAGACUGAAAAGGUCACAGUGAUUUUGGAUACUCAAAGUGCCUCCACCUGGCUCUUUUCUGACUGAGUUUGGGAAUAUCUGUUGCCAUCAGGUGACCAUUUCAAAGGGUACUUACCAAUGAAGCUAUUGAAGACAUGUGCAGAACACAAAGAAAAGAAAUAAAUCUUCAGUCCUUCCUUGAAGAACAGCAGCAUAUUUUCUCAGCAGGCAAAUAUAUGAGAUUUUCAGCUGAAUCAUAUUCACUUUGGUUGUGCAUCUGAAGGUACAACUGAAUUCCUGAGCAGAGGUGCAAAUUGAAGCUCCAACCCAGCAUUACAUUGAGACAAAACUCUUCUUUCUACAUGCCUUCCUUUGUGAAUAAAG